AAUUUGUAUUGUUUAUUUCUUGUCAUUGCGACUUUGACGCAGCUGUUGUCAUGACAACAGAUAACAAAACAUGUUUUGUUGAAGGAUUAUUGAUGAAUAAUUUUCCACAAAAAAAUGGAUUUUAACCACGAUAGGAAAAUGAGAACCUGCGCCUAUCCGUUUAAACCGAUUGUAGAAUUUAUGGAAAGAUAUGGCGAUCUGAGUAAGCCCACUGAAGGGCCCCAAGAAAGAGCCAACAAUAGUCAACGGUGGGUGGAACUAACGGACACGCGAACGUGAAAUGCUGAUGCCACCGGCGACACGAAAACUACUGAGAAAUUGAGAAAAGUGUGGAGUGACUUUAAACAUCAAGAAGAAGGCAACUCGCAUACACAGAGCUGCCAAGGGAACACUGGAUUGGUGGCGGUCCAGGUUCUUCCCUGAAGCCAAAGGAUUUAGAGCAGAGUGCUUGUAAAUAACUACUUGUAAAUUAAAUCCAUAAUAAAGACCUAGGGUAACUGGAU
Molecule: long non-coding RNA, 503 nt
Organism: Ostrinia nubilalis (European corn borer)
Lineage: Eukaryota; Metazoa; Arthropoda; Insecta; Lepidoptera; Crambidae
Exons: 3
Source: RefSeq, a predicted model, not a curated record